Molecule: ribosomal RNA, 495 nt
Filed under: Oreina cacaliae
Lineage: Eukaryota; Metazoa; Arthropoda; Insecta; Coleoptera; Chrysomelidae
Description: partial 16S large subunit ribosomal RNA
Rfam family: Bacterial large subunit ribosomal RNA
Source: RNAcentral
UAAUUUAAGGUCUAACCUGCCCACUGAGAUUUUAAAUGGCCGUGGUAUUUUGACCGUGCUAAGGUAGCAUAAUCAUUAGUUUUUUAAUUAAAAACUGGAAUGAAAGGUUGGAUAAGAAAAUAGCUGUCUCUGUUAAAUUUAAUUAGAAUUUUAUUUUUAAGUUAAAAAGCUUAAUUAUUAUUAAAAGACGAGAAGACCCUAUAGAGUUUAAUUAUUUAAUAAAAAAUAUAUUUUAGUAUUUAUUUAUUUAUUUUAUUGAAUAAUUUAAUUGGGGUGAUUGAAAAAUUUAUUUAACUUUUUUUAUUUUAAAACAUUAAUUUAUGAGUAUAUGAUCCAAUAUUUUUGAUUAUAAGAUAAAAUUACCUUAGGGAUAACAGCGUAAUUUUUUUAGAAAGUUCAUAUUAAAAAAAAAGAUUGCGACCUCGAUGUUGGAUUAAAAUAAAUUUUUGGUGUAGAAGCUAAAAAUAUUAGGUCUGUUCGACCUUUAAAAUUUUA